RNAcentral lists this ribosomal RNA (407 nucleotides) under uncultured Olsenella sp. RNAcentral describes it as "bacterial SSU rRNA". It matches the Rfam family "Bacterial small subunit ribosomal RNA", at positions 356 to 774 of the family's 1533-position model. Lineage: Bacteria; Bacillati; Actinomycetota; Coriobacteriia; Coriobacteriales; Atopobiaceae. The record is from RNAcentral.
GGGGAAUCUUGCGCAAUGGGCGGAAGCCUGACGCAGCGACGCCGCGUGCGGGAGGAAGGCCCUCGGGUCGUAAACCGCUUUCAGCAGGGACGAGGCCGCAAGGUGACGGUACCUGCAGAAGAAGCCCCGGCUAACUACGUGCCAGCAGCCGCGGUAAUACGUAGGGGGCGAGCGUUAUCCGGAUUCAUUGGGCGUAAAGCGCUCGUAGGCGGCCUGCUAGGUCGGGAGUCAAAUGCGGGGGCCCAACCCCCGGCCGCUCCCGAUACCGGCGGGCUUGAGUUUGGUAGGGGAAGGCGGAAUUCCCGGUGUAGCGGUGGAAUGCGCAGAUAUCGGGAAGAACACCGGUGGCGAAGGCGGCCUUCUGGGCCACAACUGACGCUGAGGAGCGAAAGCUGGGGGAGCGAACA